AUACAUAUUGUGACUUAUUAGGCUGGUGCAAAAGUAAUUGCAGUUUUUGCCCCAAUUACUUUUGAAAGUAAUGGCAAAAACUGUGAUGACUUUUGCAUCAACCUAAUA
Chlorocebus sabaeus (green monkey) is the source of this 108-nucleotide microRNA precursor. The record is from Ensembl. Lineage: Eukaryota; Metazoa; Chordata; Mammalia; Primates; Cercopithecidae.